CUCUCCAUAAGUUCUAAAGUAGCCAGUGGCCAAAUAAAAGUAAACGGUGAAAGUUUAAUGCGUUUUAACGUGAGCCGCGCAGCGGCGAGGCGGGGGAGAGUGCGGGAGGGGUUUCCCCUCCCGCUGGGGGGGUACGGGGGGCCUCCCCCGGAAAAUUUUGCUUUUAAAGAUGCUAAAUCCUGCAUUUUGGUGCAUUCUGGUACAUUUUUUAGGUACUGUCUGACCUGGUUUUUUUUAUUGGGAAGGUUUGCUCAGACACUGAAAUUGAACAGAAAAAUCAAAUAAAUUUUAACUCAGUUUAAUGAACAUUUUAUAGUUAACAACUUAAAACAAUCAUCAGAGCCUGAUUCGAGGCCGGAACCUGAGUCAUCCAUGGCUAAUGCAUGAAGGGCAUUUUGAUAGUCAUCUGCUUCAGAUACAGCUUUCUGUGUCUCAACCUCAACAUUGCAUUCAACGUCUUGAGAGGGUUGUGGUAGUGGUUGUCUGUUAAAAGAAUUAGAAUACAUGUAAUAUAAGUUUCCAUACAGCAGCAUAUUGACUUUAUAUAAAAAUAUCAAAUAUACAUAAUACAGGAAUUGAAUUUUAGUAAAGUUGAAAUAAGACCAGGCUGCUUAGAUUUAAAAUAUUAUUUGUCUUACUAUGCAUAAUAUUUUCUAAUAUUAUAAUUCUUUUAGUGAUCUGUUAUGACUUUGGAUCUUUUACAUGGCUGUGAUAUUUUAAUAAGAUUAAUUCUAUACAUUAUCUAUAGGGUCUAUACCGGUAUCUUUUAUGUUAAUUCUAGUAUAUUUAAUGUAUUAAAAGGAUUGUACAAAUAUUUUAAAAAUGAUCUAAUACUUUUGCAAAAAUAACAAUUCUACAAUAUUAUGAAAAAAGGAUGGCAAUAAGUUUUGAAAGAAAUAUUUCAUAUUUUAAUUUUUAUAUUAAAGCCUAUAGCUGUACAUAGAGAUCUACCUGUGUUUUCCUUACUAUACUGUAGUCAUGCAUAGAUUUUAAACAAGCUACCAACUGGCAUAAAGAUAUUUUUAUUCGUGAAAUAAAUAUCAAAUCAUGUUCAAAUCAAUUAAAAUUAUAUAGAAAAACAUUGUAACAAUUUAAAUUUCGCUCUAACAAUUUAAAUUUCGCUCGUACCGAACAUUCAAUGACGUAGCCUCGUAGGUCAAACUGACAUUAAAAUAUAUUACAAUUACGCUUUUACUUUGUCAACAAAUGAUUUAAAC
Molecule: long non-coding RNA, 1217 nt
Organism: Ruditapes philippinarum (Manila clam)
Lineage: Eukaryota; Metazoa; Mollusca; Bivalvia; Venerida; Veneridae
Exons: 2
Source: RefSeq, a predicted model, not a curated record